This is a long non-coding RNA of Megalobrama amblycephala (Wuchang bream), 638 nucleotides long. RefSeq lists it as uncharacterized. Lineage: Eukaryota; Metazoa; Chordata; Actinopteri; Cypriniformes; Xenocyprididae. The record is from RefSeq and is a predicted model, not a curated record. The transcript has 6 exons.
UGAGACUCCUGCAACCGCUCCUUCCUACACAACAACAAAGUCUGUCCAGUCUACUCACAGCUCCUCUCUCCUGGAUGACUCUGGCCUCCCUCUCCAUCUCCUCGUGUCUGCGAAUGAGCUCUGUCCCGGACUUCCUCUAGCUCUCGAAUCAAGGCGUGGACUUCUAGCGCUGCCUCUAGCUUCCUCUUAUAGCUGCUCAGGUUUCCAUGGAAAUUACUCCAUCUGUUGGGAAGCCGGGCUGCCAGAGUGUUGAUUGUCUUGAUGUGAGCAUCAUCAACAGUCACGUCCUGAAAAUGAUGAAAACUACUUAGUGAAAGAAUGUUACUGCACAAAGCAAUAAGCUGCCAAUAUAAUAUAUACAAAGCCUACGAACACCAGACUUACUCCAGAACCUGAGCCUCUGAAUUCACUGAGCUUCUUGAGCAGUUGCUGACCAUGUUCAUAAUCCUCUCCAACAUCACCAACAUUUAUCAUCACCUCCUGCAUCAAAGAAACUGAGGAACUCAAGAAAAUCACGGUUAUCCUCAAGAACUUUUCCACGGGCGGCAACUGCUUGCUUCAGAGCCUCCCAAUGAGAGAUCAGCGCAGAAAUGGUCUGCUGUAUCUCCUUUGAUUUCAGAUGCCGCAUGGUCACCAGU